RNAcentral lists this ribosomal RNA (453 nucleotides) under Triticum aestivum (bread wheat). RNAcentral's name for it is "partial small subunit ribosomal RNA". The record is from RNAcentral. Lineage: Eukaryota; Viridiplantae; Streptophyta; Magnoliopsida; Poales; Poaceae.
AUGAUCUUGAGCGCCUCCAGGUUCAUGAGCGCUAUGACGGCAAGGAUCAGGUUCAGGUGGCCAAUGGUGCAGGACAAAGCAACUAGGCGCGUCAUCCUUCACAGUAGAAGUUACGGGGGGGUCUAUCCGGUCCCCUUCGCUCGUGCAUCAUCUUCAUCGUCUCACCGUGCCUCCUCCGGUGUUCGAGUUUCGUCGUUGCAAUGGCAUCAACGUCUUGGUCAUCCUACAAAUAAUGUGGUCACUUCCAUUGUUCGGAGUCAUGAACUUCCGUGUUCUAGUUCAAAUAAUUCAUCGUUAGUUUGUGAUGCAUGUCAGCGUGCUAAGAGUCAUCAACUACCUUAUUCUACUUCGUUUCACAUCACUACUGUACCUCUUGAAUUAAUACAUUCAGAUGUUUGGGGUCCCGCUCUUGCUUUGUCAGGAGGGUACAAAUAUUAUGUUAGUUUUAUUGAU